Molecule: transfer RNA, 66 nt
Filed under: Sphaerodactylus townsendi
Lineage: Eukaryota; Metazoa; Chordata; Lepidosauria; Squamata; Sphaerodactylidae
Description: tRNA-Ala
Rfam family: tRNA
About the family: Transfer RNA (tRNA) molecules are approximately 80 nucleotides in length. Their secondary structure includes four short double-helical elements and three loops (D, anti-codon, and T loops). Further hydrogen bonds mediate the characteristic L-shaped molecular structure. tRNAs have two regions of fundamental functional importance: the anti-codon, which is responsible for specific mRNA codon recognition, and the 3' end, to which the tRNAs corresponding amino acid is attached (by aminoacyl-tRNA synthetases). tRNAs cope with the degeneracy of the genetic code in two manners: having more than one tRNA (with a specific anti-codon) for a particular amino acid; and 'wobble' base-pairing, i.e. permitting non-standard base-pairing at the 3rd anti-codon position.
Source: RNAcentral
GAGGCUCCGUGGUGGAGCAUCUGCUUUGCAUGCAGAAGGUGCCAGGUUCAAUCUCUGGUAUCUCCA